AUAAUUUUUUUUUUUUUUUUUUUAGUGCAUGUAGAUGUUGUGUCACUCUUUGUGGUGCAGCAAGUAAAUUGUAAAUCUUCAUAAAAGGAGCAGGUGGGGGUGGGGAAUCCUGGUAAAUUGUCCAAGUUUUGUUGCUUAUGAGAAGAAGACAACAAAUAAGAAUACAAGGGAAAAGGUACUAUUGUUGUCAGGCAAAGGCCCUCUCUUUUGUUUUUGCUUGAAGCUUCCCAAAAUUCUUAUGUUGUGUAUGAGUUUGCAUUUUCUUCCAUUAGCCUGACAUUUUGAAUUAAUGAUUUAGAAAAGAAGUAUACUGUAUAUUUUCAAGGUACUUGUAUGACUGAAAUUCCAGGCAUAUUUACAUAUAGCUAGAGGAGAAGAGAAAUAAUUUCAUAAAUAUAUAUAAAAAAAAGCUUUCUUUUACAAAAGUUUGUGCUUUUGAUGACUUCAUAGUUUGCUACUAAAUUUAUAAAUUAUCUUAUUGAAACCCUAUAUUUCCUGCAGAAGAAUUAUUUUGCUGGGUGAUUU
RNAcentral lists this unclassified non-coding RNA (525 nucleotides) under Hevea brasiliensis (rubber tree). The record is from RNAcentral. Lineage: Eukaryota; Viridiplantae; Streptophyta; Magnoliopsida; Malpighiales; Euphorbiaceae.